ACGGGGUGCAGCAGGCGCGAAACCUCCACAAUGCGCGAAAGCGUGAUGGGGUUAUCCCGAGUGCCGUCCGAUGAGGAUGGCUUUUUAUCGAUGUAAGGAUUCGAUAGAAUAAAGGGGGGGCAAGACUGGUGUCAGCCGCCGCGGUAAUACCAGCCCCCUGAGUGGUAAGGACGAUUAUUUGGCCUAAAGCGUUCGUAGCCGGCUUAUCAAGUCUUUUGUUAAAUCCAACGAUUCAAUCGUUGGGCCGCAAAAGAUACUGUUAUGCUAGAGGACGGGAGAGGUCGACGGUAGUCCAGGGGUAGGGGUGAAAUCCUAUAAUCCUUGGAGGACCACCAGUGGCGAAGGCGGUCGACUAGAACGUGCCUGACGGUGAGGGACGAAAGCUGGGGGAGCGAACCGGAUUAGAUACCCGGGUAGUCCCAGCUGUAAACGAUGCGGGCUAGGUGUUGGGGCAGCCACGAGCUGCUCCAGUGCCGCAGAGAAGUUGUUAAGCCCGCCGCCUGGGAGUACGCCGACAAGGC
Molecule: ribosomal RNA, 521 nt
Filed under: uncultured archaeon
Lineage: Archaea
Description: bacterial SSU rRNA
Rfam family: Archaeal small subunit ribosomal RNA
Source: RNAcentral